CAGCCGCCGCGGUAAUACGAAGGUCCCGGGCGUUGUUCGGAAUCACUGGGCGUAAAGGGAGCGUAGGCGGCGUGGUAAGUCAGAUGUGAAAUCCCGGGGCUCAACCCCGGAACUGCAUCCGAUACUGCCAUGCUAGAGGAUUGGAGAGGUAGCUGGAAUUCUUGGUGUAGCAGUGAAAUGCGUGGAGAUCAAGAGGAACACUCGUGGCGAAAGCGAGCUACUGGACAAUAACUGACGCUGAGGCUCGAAGGCCAGGGUAGCGAAAGGGAUUAGAUACCCCGGUAGUCCCUGUCUCUUAUAC
This 301-nucleotide ribosomal RNA is filed under the name uncultured bacterium. Its description in RNAcentral is "partial 16S ribosomal RNA". It matches the Rfam family "Bacterial small subunit ribosomal RNA", at positions 509 to 807 of the family's 1533-position model. The record is from RNAcentral.